RNAcentral lists this long non-coding RNA (794 nucleotides) under Nicotiana benthamiana. RNAcentral describes it as "long non-coding RNA (NBEN_LNC034289)". The record is from RNAcentral. Lineage: Eukaryota; Viridiplantae; Streptophyta; Magnoliopsida; Solanales; Solanaceae.
AAUAAAAGUUUCUCUUCUCCAAAAUCUUUCUACUCUUCCAAAAUUCCCUUAGCCUAAAAGCCUCCCUCCAAAUAUUAAUAGCAAUCCUCUUCCAACACCCUUAUCUCGCCAUAUGCACAUCAUAAAUGAAAUGCCUUUCUUAUGUCUCUGCAUGCGCAUCUACAACCGAUCUGCACAUUAUACCUACAUGUGCCACAACAACACAACAAUGAAAAGUAACAAUUUGUCAUCAAGCGGCACAUUCUCAAAACCCAUUAAUUAAGCGCACAAGGUUAUGAUAACAACGAAAGUGUGGAUAAUGCAUAAUCAUGGUUAAAUCAAGUAUAGUAACUAAGUCCAAGUAGAAUCACAUAUAUAUCAGUGUACACGUCUCAAUCAUGGUAAAUUACAAGAAUAAGUCUGGAUGUUUGUUCAUAGCCUACAUGUAUCUAUUCCCAAGGCAAAUAUAGCAUAAGUCUAAAGAUUUGUUCAUCAUAAGGUACCAAUAACCUUAACAUUCACUUAAAAAAAACUGCGUUUAACGACGGAUUUUAGCGACAAGCAGAGUUCUGUCGCCGAGUAACGACGGAUUGGCUACGGAAUAAUAGUUUCGUUGCAAAAAAAGCCAAAAAAUAGUUAGUAUAUAAUAUAGCAACGGAUUAGCGACGAAAUUGAAAAUUCAUCGGUAAAUAUUGGCGCCCUCUAUUUAACUACAGAUUUAGCGACAAAACCUAAGCGACAAAAUUUAUUUACCUACAGCGACGGAAUUAGCAACGAAAAGUCCGUCGCUAUGCUAAAUUUCUGUAUCAAAAUUG